UUGAUCCUUUCGAUAUUUAGUAAAAAAUAAGUUCAUUAAGAUAGUAAGAAAAGGUUUUGAAUGCUCACAAUUUUUCAAUCCUUAGACACGAGCGCUUUGCAUGUCGUAAAUGUCUUUAAUCGUUUCGAAUCUGUAUCUUCUUUUCAAGUACGAGAAUAUACGCAGGUCCAAUUAAGAAAAGUUAUAUUUUAAAUUUUUGAAAGAAAUUAACAAUCUCAAUUUUCAUCACCCUCUCUCUUAUUUAACUUGUA
Schizosaccharomyces pombe (fission yeast) is the source of this 251-nucleotide non-coding RNA. The record is from the annotation of a GenBank genome assembly. NCBI's taxonomy places the organism in Eukaryota, Fungi, Ascomycota, Schizosaccharomycetes, Schizosaccharomycetales, Schizosaccharomycetaceae.